CAGCAGCCGCGGUAAUGCGAAGGGAGCUAGCGUUGCUCGGAAUGACUGGGCGUAAAGGGCGCGUAGGCGGCGGCCAAAGUCAGGCGUGAAAUUCCUGGGCUCAACCUUGGGGCUGCGCUUGAUACUUGGUUGCUUGAGUGGGGAAGAGGGUCGUGGAAUUCCCAGUGUAGAGGUGAAAUUCGUAGAUAUUGGGAAGAACACCGGUGGCGGAGGCGGCGACCUGGUCCUUGACUGACGCUGAGGCGCGAAAGCGUGGGGAGCAAACAGGAUUAGAUACCCGCGUAGUCCCUGUCUCUUAUAC
Molecule: ribosomal RNA, 301 nt
Filed under: uncultured bacterium
Lineage: Bacteria
Description: partial 16S ribosomal RNA
Rfam family: Bacterial small subunit ribosomal RNA
Source: RNAcentral